AUUGAACGCUGGCGGCAUGCUUUACACAUGCAAGUCGAACGGUAACAGGUCUUCGGAUGCUGACGAGUGGCGAACGGGUGAGUAAUGCAUCGGAACGUGCCCAGUCGUGGGGGAUAACGCAGCGAAAGCUGUGCUAAUACCGCAUACGAUCUAUGGAUGAAAGCGGGGGAUCGCAAGACCUCGCGCGAUUGGAGCGGCCGAUGUCAGAUUAGCUAGUUGGUGGGGUAAAGGCCCACCAAGGCGACGAUCUGUAGCUGGUCUGAGAGGACGACCAGCCACACUGGGACUGAGACACGGCCCAGACUCCUACGGGAGGCAGCAGUGGGGAAUUUUGGACAAUGGGCGCAAGCCUGAUCCAGCAAUGCCGCGUGCAGGAAGAAGGCCUUCGGGUUGUAAACUGCUUUUGUACGGAACGAAAAGGUCUGGGUUAAUACCCUGGGCUCAUGACGGUACCGUAAGAAUAAGCACCGGCUAACUACGUGCCAGCAGCCGCGGUAAUACGUAGGGUGCAAGCGUUAAUCGGAAUUACUGGGCGUAAAGCGUGCGCAGGCGGUUUUGUAAGACAGGCGUGAAAUCCCCGGGCUCAACCUGGGAAUGGCGCUUGUGACUGCAAGGCUGGAGUGCGGCAGAGGGGGAUGGAAUUCCGCGUGUAGCAGUGAAAUGCGUAGAUAUGCGGAGGAACACCAAUGGCGAAGGCAAUCCCCUGGGCCUGCACUGACGCUCAUGCACGAAAGCGUGGGGAGCAAACA
This 749-nucleotide ribosomal RNA is filed under the name uncultured Pseudomonas sp. Its description in RNAcentral is "bacterial SSU rRNA". It matches the Rfam family "Bacterial small subunit ribosomal RNA", at positions 28 to 774 of the family's 1533-position model. The record is from RNAcentral. Lineage: Bacteria; Pseudomonadati; Pseudomonadota; Gammaproteobacteria; Pseudomonadales; Pseudomonadaceae.